UUUUCUUCAUUUUAGUGCGUUCU
RNAcentral lists this small nuclear RNA (23 nucleotides) under Arabidopsis thaliana (thale cress). RNAcentral's name for it is "snRNA_06988". Lineage: Eukaryota; Viridiplantae; Streptophyta; Magnoliopsida; Brassicales; Brassicaceae. The record is from RNAcentral.